UUGGGGGGGGUGGUUUUUCAGGUGUAGCGGUGAAAUGCGUAGAGAUCUGAAGGAAUACCGGUGGCGAAGGCGGCCCCCUGGACAGAUACUGACACUCAGAUGCGAAAGCGUGGGGAGCAAACAGGAUUAGAUACCCUGGUAGUCCACGCCGUAAACGAUGUCUACUUGGAGGUUGUGGCCUUGAGCCGUGGCUUUCGGAGCUAACGCGUUAAGUAGACCGCCUGGGGAGUACGGUCGCAAGAUUAAAACUCAAAUGAAUUGACGGGGGCCCGCACAAGCGGUGGAGCAUGUGGUUUAAUUCGAUGCAACGCGAAGAACCUUACCUACUCUUGACAUCUACAGAAGCCAGCGGAGACGCAGGUGUGCCUUCGGGAACUGUAAGACAGGUGCUGCAUGGCUGUCGUCAGCUCGUGUUGUGAAAUGUUGGGUUAAGUCCCGCAACGAGCGCAACCCUUAUCCUUGUUUGCCAGCACUUCGGGUGGGAACUCCAGGGAGACUGCCGGUGAUAAACCGGAGGAAGGUGGGGACGACGUCAAGUCAUCAUGGCCCUUACGAGUAGGGCUACACACGUGCUACAAUGGCGCAUACAGAGGGCGGCCAACUUGCGAAAGUGAGCGAAUCCCAAAAAGUGCGUCGUAGUCCGGAUUGGAGUCUGCAACUCGACUCCAUGAAGUCGGAAUCGCUAGUAAUCGUGGAUCAGAAUGCCACGGUGAAUACGUUCCCGGGCCUUGUACACACCGCCCGUCACACCAUGGGAGUGGGCUGCAAAAGAAGUGGGUAGUUUAACCUUCGGGAGGACGCUCACCACUUUGUGGUUCAUGACUGGGGUGAAGUCGUAACAAGGUAGCCG
RNAcentral lists this ribosomal RNA (850 nucleotides) under uncultured bacterium. Its description in RNAcentral is "bacterial SSU rRNA". It matches the Rfam family "Bacterial small subunit ribosomal RNA", at positions 652 to 1502 of the family's 1533-position model. The record is from RNAcentral.